AAUAAGUGCAGUUUUGCACUAUUCACGUUCAACGUUUGACCGUCCGUCUUAUUUGAAAAAUUUUUAUGAUUAGUAUUUUUAUUGCUAUUAGAUGAUAAAACAUGAAUAGUACUUUAUGUGUGACUAAAUGUUUUUAAUUUUUUCAUAAAUUUUUCAAAUAAGACGGACGGUCAAACGUUAAACGUGAAUAGUGUAAAACUGCACUUAUU
RNAcentral lists this microRNA precursor (209 nucleotides) under Oryza rufipogon (brownbeard rice). RNAcentral's name for it is "MIR812 microRNA precursor family". It matches the Rfam family "MIR812 microRNA precursor family". The record is from Rfam by way of RNAcentral. Lineage: Eukaryota; Viridiplantae; Streptophyta; Magnoliopsida; Poales; Poaceae.